CUUCUUUCCUAUCCGAGAUCUUUGCGCAAACCCAAACCAUCUGGAGGAGCUUUAUUCAUCCAUAACCCUCAUAAGCUUAGUUCUACGAUAGCUUUACCUGAAUCCCUCAGGUAGGGACAUACAGCCUGAUGUACAACAAGGUAGGAUACCAAGAACAGGGGAAUGGCAAAACAAAACAGAGCACAAACCAAUGAAACCAAUAAAACAACCAGAGCCAUGUUUCAUGUUUAGAUCAACAGGCUUGGCUGUAGGUGAGUGAUCUAGAAUACGUUCCAUGGAGAUAAGAACAAAAUAAGACUCCUAUAUGAUGCAUAGUAAAAACUAAAACAGAGUAGUAUCAUUCUCAAAUCACCCCAAGGAAAAUAGAUGAAAUAGCCAUAAUAAAAUCCAUGGACCAAAUAGGAAUCGUAAAACUGAACGUAUAAUCGAACAAAUCCACAGAAAAUAUCAAGAAAAAGGGAAUAAGACUAUAGUGUGAUAAAGAAAAUCCAAGGAUACAGGGCAGUCAUACCUCUCUUUUCUCCUCCCUCAAGCUUCCCUGUAGCUGCCUCCCUCACCUCUGAAU
Molecule: long non-coding RNA, 565 nt
Filed under: Vitis vinifera (wine grape)
Lineage: Eukaryota; Viridiplantae; Streptophyta; Magnoliopsida; Vitales; Vitaceae
Description: long non-coding RNA (VVIN_LNC007214)
Source: RNAcentral